GAGUUUGAUCCUGGCUCAGAUUGAACGCUGGCGGCGUGCCUAACACAUGCAAGUCGAGCGGUAACAGGUGUAGCAAUACAUGCUGACGAGCGGCGGACGGGUGAGUAACGCUUGGGAAUCUGCCUAUUAGUGGGGGACAACCCGGGGGAAACUCGGGCUAAUACCGCAUACGCACUACGGUGGAAAGCCGGGGACCGCAAGGCCUGGCGCUAAUAGAUGAGCCCAAGUCGGAUUAGCUAGUUGGUAGGGUAAUGGCCUACCAAGGCUACGAUCCGUAACUGGUGUGAGAGCACGACCAGCCACACGGGCACUGAGACACGGGCCCGACUCCUACGGGAGGCAGCAGUGAGGAAUAUUGGUCAAUGGGCGCAAGCCUGAACCAGCCAUGCCGCGUGGAGGAUGAAGGCCUUCUGGGUUGUAAACUUCUUUUAUAUGGGAAGAAAGUACGGUUUCUACUGUAUCCGACGGUACCAUAUGAAUAAGCACGGCUAACUCCGUGCCAGCAGCCGCGGU
RNAcentral lists this ribosomal RNA (513 nucleotides) under uncultured Gammaproteobacteria bacterium. RNAcentral's name for it is "bacterial SSU rRNA". It matches the Rfam family "Bacterial small subunit ribosomal RNA", at positions 9 to 521 of the family's 1533-position model. Lineage: Bacteria; Pseudomonadati; Pseudomonadota; Gammaproteobacteria. RNAcentral also lists the same sequence under 1 other name. The record is from RNAcentral.